UCGUAAGAUGGGCGAAUUUUAGAUACCGGACAUAUUUCGAGAUCAGGGGUGGGCGGCUAAUAGCCGAAUUAGUCGACUUUUUAACCGAUUAGCCGAAUUAGCCGUUAGCCGAAAAAAACGGUUAGCCGCCCACCCCUGUUCGAGAUCCGA
Molecule: non-coding RNA, 150 nt
Organism: Caenorhabditis elegans
Lineage: Eukaryota; Metazoa; Nematoda; Chromadorea; Rhabditida; Rhabditidae
Source: Ensembl